Molecule: ribosomal RNA, 272 nt
Filed under: uncultured bacterium
Lineage: Bacteria
Description: partial 16S ribosomal RNA
Rfam family: Bacterial small subunit ribosomal RNA
Source: RNAcentral
CCCGCCGGCGACCGGCGCGCGGGUGAGUAACACGUAUGCAACCUGGCCGCCACAGGGGGAUAACCCGCGGAAACGCGGCCUAAUACCCCGUGACGCCACCGGAGGGCAUCCUCCGGUGGCCAAAGGAGCGAUCCGGUGGCGGAUGGGCAUGCGGCGCAUUAGCUAGACGGCGGGGUGACGGCCCACCGUGGCGACGAUGCGUAGGGGUUCUGAGAGGAAGGCCCCCCACACUGGGACUGAGACACGGCCCAGACUCCUACGGGAGGCAGCAG